GAGGGGGAGAGGGGGGGGGGGGGGGGGGGGGGGGGGGGGGGGGAUAAAAAAAAAACAAACAAACAACAACAACAAAAGUCAGAAGAGAGUGGAGCACCCGGCCAGGCGCCAGCAGAGCACAACAAACCGGGAACAGCCGUAACGGAGAGAAGGGAACGUGCGGAGGAAUCGGCCCGGAGCGGAGCCGGGGGGGCUGAGCGGGGCGCGGAGUGCGAGAAAGAGAGAGAGGGGAGAGCGCUGGGGUGGGCCCGCGGCGGCGGGGGCAGCCCGGCCGGCUCGCGGGGAAGGAAGGAAGCGAGGGGAGAAGCCAGAGCCGCUCCGCGUUCGGAAGGAAGGAGAAAAAAACCCCAUAUGAAGGAAUAAAGAAGCAGAAUCCGAAGCGGCUCGAGAAAUAAAUCAGCGCCGGGAAGGGGAGAGCAGAGGGAGAAGUACGGUUGAAGAGCCGCUGGAGCGAGCCCGAGCUCCCGGGGGAGAAGGAAGGUUGGCCCGUGGAGAGGCAGCCAGCAGCAAAGCAGCCGGUCCUUCUCCGCGGCUUUUUCACGUCCGAAGAGUUUGCGGCGGGGUUUCCCGGCUCCCUGGGGAGGCUCCGCGGGAUGAAGCGGGCAGCGGAGAGCCGCGCCUUGGCGGGAGGCUUAGCGCAAGCGGACACGCUCAGGGAGCCGCGGUGACAUCCAGAAGUCCUUUGAAUUUCACAUGUUUUUCCAAUCGCUCAAUCCAAAAUAUAUGGUGUCCUCCUUUCCCACCCCCCACCUCUUUCCUAGGAAUGUGCGUAAUAAAACCUAAUCGCCUGGGACUCUCCUACUUUCUGCAUCUGCUGGACACGAAGUCCACCCGGCUCUGAAGCUGAGCUGCUAUGGGACGCCCGGCGGCCUCGGUCACGUCUGCAAGUGGGAAACCCCGAAUGAGCCUUUGCGCUACAUUAACUGUCCCGCUGCCGUCCGGGGCUCCCUCGGACGCAGCAGCCCUCUUCGCCUCCUGCAGCCAUCUCCGAAGCGGAGAUCGGGACGCUCACCCCAGGAGCGCAACUCCGGACCAAGACAAAGUGUGCGUGCCGGGGGUGGGGGCUGGGGUAGGUUAAACUUCUCAAUAUCUAUCUAUCUAUCUAUAUAUUCUAU
Molecule: long non-coding RNA, 1115 nt
Filed under: Chrysolophus pictus (golden pheasant)
Lineage: Eukaryota; Metazoa; Chordata; Aves; Galliformes; Phasianidae
Description: lncRNA (ENSCPIG00010011107.1)
Source: RNAcentral